Molecule: ribosomal RNA, 254 nt
Filed under: uncultured bacterium
Lineage: Bacteria
Description: partial 16S ribosomal RNA
Rfam family: Bacterial small subunit ribosomal RNA
Source: RNAcentral
UACGGGGGGGGCAAGCGUUGUUCGGAAUUACUGGGCGUAAAGGGCUCGUAGGCGGCCAACUAAGUCGGAUGUGAAAUCCCCAGGCUCAACUUGGGAACUGCAUCCGAUACUGGAUGGCUUGAAUCCGGGAGAGGGAUGCAGAAUUCCAGGUGUAGCGGUGAAAUGCGUAGAUAUCUGGAGGAAUACCGGUGGCGAAGGCGGCAUCCUGGACCGGCAUUGACGCUGAGUGAGCGAAAGCCAGGGGAGCAAACAGG